Molecule: ribosomal RNA, 721 nt
Filed under: uncultured bacterium
Lineage: Bacteria
Description: bacterial SSU rRNA
Rfam family: Bacterial small subunit ribosomal RNA
Source: RNAcentral
ACACAUGCAAGUCGAACGAGAAUCUGUGGAAAGAGGAUUCGUCCAAUUGAAGCAGAGGACAGUGGCGGACGGGUGAGUAACGCGUGAGGAACCUGCCUUUCAGAGGGGGACAACAGUUGGAAACGACUGCUAAUACCGCAUGACACAUAGGUGUCGCAUGGCACUUAUGUCAAAGAUUUAUCGCUGAAAGAUGGCCUCGCGUCUGAUUAGCUAGUUGGUGAGGUAACGGCCCACCAAGGCGACGAUCAGUAGCCGGACUGAGAGGUUGAACGGCCACAUUGGGACUGAGAUACGGCCCAGACUCCUACGGGAGGCAGCAGUGGGGAAUAUUGGGCAAUGGGCGCAAGCCUGACCCAGCAACGCCGCGUGAAGGAAGAAGGCUUUCGGGUUGUAAACUUCUUUUGUCAGGGACGAGUAGAAGACGGUACCUGACGAAUAAGCCACGGCUAACUACGUGCCAGCAGCCGCGGUAAUACGUAGGUGGCAAGCGUUGUCCGGAUUUACUGGGUGUAAAGGGCGUGUAGCCGGGAGGGCAAGUCAGAUGUGAAAUCCACGGGCUCAACUCGUGAACUGCAUUUGAAACUACUCUUCUUGAGUAUCGGAGAGGCAAUCGGAAUUCCUAGUGUAGCGGUGAAAUGCGUAGAUAUUAGGAGGAACACCAGUGGCGAAGGCGGAUUGCUGGACGACAACUGACGGUGAGGCGCGAAAGCGUGGGGAGCAA